UCAUGCGAUAGUUCAAAUCUCUAUCAUGAUGAUUGUAACGCUAUCAUUAAAUGAUGAAAACAAUCAGAAGCAACGCUCAUUUUAACAAACAGAGAAGUUCAUUUAGAAAAUUUUAAUAAUUUAUUUGUUACGCAGCCUCAAUUAUGGAACGAAUUCGUCGACUAUGGUUGUACAGAAAGUCGUCUAAGGACGCUAUUUGCAUUUUCAGCGGUUCUUUUGAAUCAAUAAAACGUGGAAGAAGGAUCACGUAAAAAAACGUUUUUUGCCUACAUAAUUGGAAGAAAAAAAGUUGUUUACCUUUUCCGACAACCAGCGAAAUGGG
Molecule: long non-coding RNA, 322 nt
Organism: Daphnia carinata
Lineage: Eukaryota; Metazoa; Arthropoda; Branchiopoda; Diplostraca; Daphniidae
Exons: 3
Source: RefSeq, a predicted model, not a curated record